CCAGACUCCUACGGGAGGCAGCAGUGGGGAAUUUUGGACAAUGGGCGCAAGCCUGAUCCAGCUAUUCCGCGUGUGGGAUGACGGCCCUCGGGUUGUAAACCACUUUAGUAGAGAACGAAAAGGAGCUAUCGAAUAAAUAGCUCUGCUGACGGUACCCUAAGAAUAAGCACCGGCUAACUACGUGCCAGCAGCCGCGGUAAUACGUAGGGUGCGAGCGUUGUCCGGAAUGACUGGGCGUAAAGGGAGUGUAGGCGGCCUUUUAAGUUAUGUGUGAAAGCCCACGGCUCAACUGUGGAAUUGCACAUAAAACUGGGAGGCUGGAGUGCAGGAGAGGUAAGCGGAAUUUCCAGUGUAGCGGUGGAAUGCGUAGAUAUUGGGAAGAACACCGGAGGCGAAGGCGGCUUACUGGACUGUAACUGACGCUGAGGCUCGAAAGCGUGGGGAGCAAACAGGAUUAGAUACCCUUGUAA
RNAcentral lists this ribosomal RNA (470 nucleotides) under uncultured bacterium. RNAcentral describes it as "bacterial SSU rRNA". It matches the Rfam family "Bacterial small subunit ribosomal RNA", at positions 331 to 793 of the family's 1533-position model. The record is from RNAcentral.